UAUGUACUCCCUCCAUCCGGAAAUACUUGUUAUCAAAGUGAAUAAAAGGGGAUGUAUCUAAAUGUAUUUUAGUUCUACAUACAUCUUUUUUGUCCAUUUUGAUGAGAAGUAUUUUCGGAGGAAGGGAGUAGGAU
Non-coding RNA from Triticum aestivum (bread wheat), 134 nucleotides. The record is from Rfam. NCBI's taxonomy places the organism in Eukaryota, Viridiplantae, Streptophyta, Magnoliopsida, Poales, Poaceae.